AUGAUCUCUUUCUGGAGAUUCUUCUCUGGUGGUGAUUUCCUCUGUGAACCUGGAAUCUUCUUAUAUGGGAGCACAAGUCACAUAUUUCAGUAUAGCCCCUCAUAUACACAUUUAAAUCAGAGAAACUGUGACUUAUUUUUAAUCAGGGGAAAGGCUGAAACAAUUCCACUUAGAAGAAGGUUACAAACAGGCUGAGUAUUGCAGCUGGCUGGAAGAAGUUUGUGCUCUGCAGGGCUAAGGUGAAUACAAGUUCACACAGAACAGACAGCACAAUGCUGAUAGCUGACAUUUCUGCUCCAGUCCUUCUCUAAAACCAGUUGUCUAGGCUGAGGCUUGGAUUCCUUCAAAUGAUGUUCCACAGUCACAGCCUGGUAAUGCUGUAUUUUGUUUCAUCACUAUUAUUAAAACUCAAUUUUUUUUAAAAAAAGUUUAAUUCCAAGGAUGUGUUUUGUCAACAAUUAUAAGAUUAAACAGUGGAAGAUCUUAAAUUCAAACAUCUCUGCAAUAGGAAACAGUUGCUAAGGCUACUCAUCUAAGCAACAUGGUGAACCCAAAUCUUUGUUUAACUACUUUUGAAUUCUGAGUCCUACAAAAAGUCUGUUCCUAUUCUUAAAAAAGAUGUAUACUGCUGUGUAACCAUGUUCUAUUCCUACUGUCUGUUCACACAAAUACAUGGGUUCAUAAAAUAGUGUCUCAUAUUAAUUUUUAAAGCCUAUGUUUAAUCAGUAUGUUCACCUUAAAAGCUAUAAAACACAAAAAUUUCUUAUGCAGAAUAUAGGAUGUUUUGGGGUAGUAAAGAACAGUUCCUUGAAGCUUACAUGGGAAAUAAAUAAGGCAUUACUUUUGGAAGUCUGUGCAGUUUGUGGGAACUUUGGGACAGUCACUUAUGCUUCAUAAAGAAUUUCCUUUUGUAUUUUCAC
Molecule: long non-coding RNA, 920 nt
Organism: Coturnix japonica (Japanese quail)
Lineage: Eukaryota; Metazoa; Chordata; Aves; Galliformes; Phasianidae
Source: RefSeq, a predicted model, not a curated record